GCCCGUGCGGAGCAGAGAGCCGGGGCUGGCGGGGGCAGCGAGGCGCGGGCGGCGGAGCGGCGGGAUGCGGCGCUGGCGGGGCGCGGGGCUGGCGGCGCUGGCCGCGGUGCUGCUCGUGGCUGCGGGCAGAGCCCAGGUGCAGCAGGAGCCGUUGGCACAAACCCCCGAGGGCACGGAAAUCACCAUCAACUGCUCACACCCCAGCAUAGGGACUGCUGACUAUAUCCACUGGUACCGUCAGCUCCCGGGCCGCGGCCCCGAAUUCCUCGUGAGCAUUCACAAAGGCUCCAGAGAUCUGCCGGACAAGGCGGGCCAGGUGUCGGUGUCGCCAAACCGUCGCUGGAGCACCCUCUGUCUCUCCGGGCCCCGUGUUGGGGACGCGGCGGUGUAUUACUGCGCCGUGGGAGACACGGCCAGAGGAGCCGGGGCUGCGGCCGGGCACGAACCGCCGCGGGCGGGGCCGGGCGGGGCCGGGGGCACAGCGCCGGCCGGGGCCAGCAGGGGCCGCUCCUGCACCUCCAGAUUUCUUUCUCAAAUCAUGUCCCGCCUUCCUGGGCCCCCGUGUUUCAAAGGGCUGCUUUCCAAGGGCCUUUCCGAAUCGGUGUCCUCAACAGGCCCAAGUCCAACCUCCAGAAGUCGAGGGUACAGGUUUGGUUGAUGCUCCCCCUUAUUUCCCCAAGCUUGGAAAACUCUAUCAUUUCUUGGUUGCUGUGCUCCAGAUGGCCUUUGAUCAGCACAUCUCUCACCAACCCUCCUCUGUUUGCAAACAGCAGGUCUAGGUGCUGUAUAAACUGCCUGACAAUCAAAAAAAUUAAAAUUCCACCGAUGGCAUUGGUCUUUAUGCCAGAGCAGAUGCAGGAAAUCGGACAUAAGACUGUAGGGGCUGCCAAGAGAAAGUUUCACCAGUCACAAGGGAUGAGAUGUACAUGUUACAGCAUCGUCUCCCCCAGACUGGCAGCCAACUCCUCAGCACAAACCCUCUGUGGGGAGCAAGGAAGCAGUGAAGAGCUCUGCACCCACCUGCAGCUCUGCUGGGAAGUGCAAUCCCACAAUCCUUGUCCUUGCUGAUGUGCCCGUUCUCCUGUAGGUUCAGUGUCACAGGGAUGUCACCUCCCGCAGUAUGUCACUGUCUCCCUGUCCCCA
Molecule: non-coding RNA, 1143 nt
Organism: Pseudopipra pipra
Lineage: Eukaryota; Metazoa; Chordata; Aves; Passeriformes; Pipridae
Source: the annotation of a RefSeq genome assembly